RNAcentral lists this long non-coding RNA (1373 nucleotides) under Olea europaea subsp. europaea. Lineage: Eukaryota; Viridiplantae; Streptophyta; Magnoliopsida; Lamiales; Oleaceae. The record is from RNAcentral.
AUUUUACAUCACCGUAAAAGAAAAGUAAGAAAAAUAAAUGAUUCUAUCCCAAAUCAGUCAUCUUCUCCACAUGUUAUCAGAGCCAACCGACCCUUGGUUCUCUGUUAUCACAACCUAACCCUUUUUCUUUUUCUUUCUCUUUGACACCCAUGGUAGAUUCCAGAAGUAUGGAGGAACCAGGUGACCAAUCCUCCAUUCUCACAGAACUAAUUGCCAAAAUACCUGAAGUUUUGACCAAAACUCAACCCCAUACCCCAGCCACAGAGACUUCCGCUGCUCCUAUAGGCAUCAAGUUAGACGGCACCAAUUAUGCCACCUGGUUCCAGAUUGUUGAGAUAUACAUCUCCUGCAAAGACAAACUGGGCUUAUAUCAAUGGAGACCUUCCUCAACCACCUCUGACUAACCAGUCCUUUAAAAAAUGGCACUGACAAUGCCAUUGUCAAAGGAUGGUUGAUUAACUCCUUGAAACCAUUGUUAAUCAGUAACUUCAUACGAUUUCCUACAGCAAAACUUGUUUGGGACUUCAUUGAUACCACAUAUUUUGAUGGAAGUGAUACUUCUCAAGUAUACGACCUCAAGGCGUCGAGUUUCUCGUCUCCGACAGAAUAGAGGAUCUCUUGAAAAAUUUAGCGUGAAAUAGAUUUCCGUCAUCCAAAUCCCAUGGAAUGCCCGAAGGAUAUCAAACACUACAAUUCUAUCAUUCAGGAGGAUCGGGUGUAUACCUUUCUGGAUGGUCUUGAUGAUCGAUUGGAUAAAAUCAGGGGGGAUGUUCUUCAGCUACGUCCAUUCCCUACAGUUGAACAGGCAUACGCCCUUGUUCGUAGAGAAGCCAAUAGACAAGCCGUGAUGACCACAGAAAGCACCAAACCCAUGACAGGUGCUGUCUUAACUUCUAAAAGCCUUAAGUUAGGAUCAACGACCACAACUUCUACAUGAUCUGGAGGAGGAAAAUCAUCAAACAACAAAGCCACAAAUAAUGAACAGCAAUGCUCAUACUGUGGAAGCAAGAGACAUAGUCGAGAAACCUGUUUCAAAUUGAAUGGAUAUCCAGAAUGGUGGACUGAACUCCAAGCCAAAAAACCCAAAGAUGGAAUGGACAGAGGAAUGGGCAAGGCAAGAGUAGCUAAUGCAACGGCUGGUGAAGAUGCCACAUCUCACCUUUCUCUACCAUCCAAUGAAAUUGCCCAAGAAUCAGGUACCUAUAAUAAUACAGGAGUCACCCAAGAUUUUAACUCUCACUGGAAUAAAAAUAAAGCCAUGGAAAUUGGGCGUGUGUUUUACGGGAACACAACUUCAACAACUCACUGAAAUGAAACUAAAAAUCGGGGCAUUUGGCUACUAAAUUCUGGUGCAAGCGAUCAUAUGACUUUUG